AGAGUUUGAUUCUGGCUCAGAACGAACGCUGGCAGCGUGGAUUAGGCAUGCAAGUCGAACGGGAUCCAGGGCUAUAGCAAUAUAAUCCUGGUGAGAGUGGCGUAAGGGUGAGUAACGCGUGGGUAAUCUGCCUCCGAGUUGGGGAUAACCCGCCGAAAGGCGGGCUAAAACCGAAUGUGGUCGGCUCUCACAAGAGAGACGGAUUAAAGACGGGGAUCCUUCGGGACCUGUUGCUCGGAGAGGAGCUCGCGUGCCAUCAGCUAGUUGGUGGGGUAACGGCCCACCAAGGCUUACGGCUAGCUGGUCUGAGAGGAUGACCAGCCACACUGGGACUGAGACACUGCCCAGACUCCUACGGGAGGCUGCAGUCGAGGAUCUUGGACAAUGGGGGCAACCCUGAUCCAGCGACGCUGCGUGGAGGAUGAAGGCCUUCGGGUUGUAAACUCCUGUCAUUCGGGAAAAACGACUCCGGGGUUAAUACCCCCGGGGAGUGAUGGUACCGGAAGAGGAAGCCACGGCUAACUCUGUGCCAGCAGCCGCGGUAAUACAGAGGUGGCAAGCGUUGUUCGGAUUUACUGGGCGUAAAGGGUGCGUAGGUGGUUGCCUGUGUCGAGUGUGAAAGCCCAAGGCUCAACCUUGGAACGGCGCUCGAAACUGGGUGACUGGAGUACAGGAUGGGAGAGCGGAAUUCUUGGUGUAGCGGUGAAAUGCGUUGAUAUCAAGAAGAACACCGGUGGCGAAGGCGGCUCUCUGGAAUGUUACUGACACUGAGGCACGAAAGCUGGGGGAGCAAACAGGAUUAGAUACCCUGGUAGUCCCAGCCGUAAACGGUGCGCACUUGGUGUGGGGGGAUUUGACCCCCUCCGUGCCGGAGCUAACGCGUUAAGUGCGCCGCCUGGGGAGUACGGUCGCAAGACUAAAACUCAAAGAAAUUGACGGGGGCCCGCACAAGCGGAGGAGCAUGUGGCUCAAUUCGAUGCAACGCGAAGAACCUUACCAGGGCUUGACAUGCAGCUGCACGUCCCGUGAAAGCGGGAUUCCUUCGAGGGUGCUGCACAGGUGCUGCAUGGCUGUCGUCAGUUCGUGCCGUGAGGUGUUGGGUUAAGUCCCGCAACGAACGCAACCCCUGUGUUUAGUUGCUACCGGGUCAUGCCGGGCACUCUAAACAGACUGCCUGUACCAAACAGGAGGAAGGUGGGGACGACGUCAAGUCAGUAUGGCCCUUACGCCCUGGGCUGCACACGUGCUACAAUGGUCGGUACAGAGGGAGGCAAGACCGCGAGGUGGAGCAAAUCCUCAAAACCGGCCCCAGUUCGGAUUGAAGGCUGCAACUCGCCUUCAUGAAGUUGGAUUCGCUAGUAAUGGCGCAUCAGCUACGGCGCCGUGAAUACGUUCCCGGGCCUUGUACACACCGCCCGUCACAUCAUGAAAGCCGUCUGCACCCGAAGUCGCUGAUUCAACCCGCAAGGGGGAUAGGUGCCUAAGGUGUGGGUGGUGAUUGGGAUGAAGUCGUAACAAGGUA
RNAcentral lists this ribosomal RNA (1522 nucleotides) under metagenome. RNAcentral's name for it is "bacterial SSU rRNA". It matches the Rfam family "Bacterial small subunit ribosomal RNA". The record is from RNAcentral.